RNAcentral lists this ribosomal RNA (758 nucleotides) under uncultured bacterium. Its description in RNAcentral is "bacterial SSU rRNA". It matches the Rfam family "Bacterial small subunit ribosomal RNA", at positions 8 to 796 of the family's 1533-position model. The record is from RNAcentral.
AGAGUUUGAUCAUGGCUCAGGACGAACGCUGGCGGCGUGCUUAACACAUGCAAGUCGAACGAGGCGCUUGCGCCUAGUGGCGAACGGGUGAGUAACACGUGAGCAACCUGCCCUUGGCUCUGGGAUAGCCUCCGGAAACGGGGAUUAAUACCGGACAUGACCUUCUCCUGCAUGGGGGAGGGUGGAAAGUUUUUCGGCCAGGGAGGGGCUCGCGGCCUAUCAGCUUGUUGGGGGGGUAACGGCCCACCAAGGCGACGACGGGUAGCCGGCCUGAGAGGGCGACCGGCCACACUGGGACUGAGACACGGCCCAGACUCCUACGGGAGGCAGCAGUGGGGAAUAUUGCACAAUGGGGGAAACCCUGAUGCAGCGACGCCGCGUGCGGGAUGAAGGCCUUCGGGUUGUAAACCGCUUUCAGCAGGGGCGAAUUCAGACGGUACCUGCAGAAGAAGCGCCGGCUAACUACGUGCCAGCAGCCGCGGUAAUACGUAGGGCGCGAGCGUUGUCCGGAAUUAUUGGGCGUAAAGAGCUCGUAGGCGGCCUGUUGCGUCCGCUGUGAAAUCCCAGGGCUUAACCCUGGGCCUGCAGUGGAUACGGGCAGGCUAGAGGCAGGCAGGGGAGAACGGAAUUCCCGGUGUAGCGGUGAAAUGCGCAGAUAUCGGGAGGAACACCGGUGGCGAAGGCGGUUCUCUGGGCCUGUUCUGACGCUGAGGAGCGAAAGCGUGGGGAGCAAACAGGAUUAGAUACCCUCGUAGUCC